UACGUAGGGUGCGAGCGUUGUCCGGAUUUAUUGGGCGUAAAGAGCUCGUAGGCGGCUUGUCGCGUCGGAUGUGAAAGCCCCGGGGCUUAACUCCGGGUCUGCAUUCGAUACGGGCAGGCUAGAGUGUGGUAGGGGAGAUCGAAUUCCUGGUGUAGCGGUGAAAUGCGCAGAUAUCAGGAGGAACACCGGUGGCGAAGGCGGUUCUCUGGGCAUGUCCUGACGUGAGGAGCGAAAGUGUGGGGAGCGAACAGG
This 252-nucleotide ribosomal RNA is filed under the name uncultured bacterium. Its description in RNAcentral is "partial 16S ribosomal RNA". It matches the Rfam family "Bacterial small subunit ribosomal RNA", at positions 524 to 776 of the family's 1533-position model. The record is from RNAcentral.